RNAcentral lists this ribosomal RNA (460 nucleotides) under uncultured bacterium. RNAcentral's name for it is "partial 16S ribosomal RNA". It matches the Rfam family "Bacterial small subunit ribosomal RNA", at positions 338 to 795 of the family's 1533-position model. The record is from RNAcentral.
CCUACGGGAGGCAGCAGUGAGGAAUAUUGGUCAAUGGACGAGAGUCUGAACCAGCCAAGUAGCGUGAAGGAUGACUGCCCUAUGGGUUGUAAACUUCUUUUAUAUGGGAAUAAAAUGUUCCACGUGUGGGAUUUUGUAUGUACCAUAUGAAUAAGGAUCGGCUAACUCCGUGCCAGCAGCCGCGGUAAUACGGAGGAUCCGAGCGUUAUCCGGAUUUAUUGGGUUUAAAGGGAGCGUAGGCGGAUUGUUAAGUCAGUUGUGAAAGUUUGCGGCUCAACCGUAAAAUUGCAGUUGAAACUGGCAGUCUUGAGUACAGGAGAGGUGGGCGGAAUUCGUGGUGUAGCGGUGAAAUGCUUAGAUAUCACGAAGAACUCCGAUUGCGAAGGCAGUUCACUGGACUGCAACUGACACUGAGGCUCGAAAGUGUGGGUAUCAAACAGGAUUAGAUACCCCUGUAGUC